AUCGAGAAGGGCGAGGUAUGAAUCGGGACGCCGGCUUGCGAGAUCUGUAGCCCUUCCAUCCGCCGUCACAGCCGCCGGCUUGAGCAGCGGCGUUCCUCGCCGUCCCUCGGUCUCCGGCCCCGCCGGCACCGAUCUCAGGCGCCGCCGCGAUGUCGAAGGCACGGGUGUACACCGACGUGAACGUGAUCCGGCCGAAGGAGUACUGGGAUUACGAGGCGUUGACCGUCCAGUGGGG
RNAcentral lists this unclassified non-coding RNA (235 nucleotides) under Hevea brasiliensis (rubber tree). The record is from RNAcentral. Lineage: Eukaryota; Viridiplantae; Streptophyta; Magnoliopsida; Malpighiales; Euphorbiaceae.